GAAAACUCGAGCCUGACCCCUGCCUUGAACUGUAGAACCCUGAAGUUGACUUCUGCCUCCAGAUCUACCUCCAAAUCUAUGUCCUCCUUAUCCACAGCCCUGUUGGCUACUAUACUGACUACUCGCCAUACCGGAUGUGCCACGAUGCAUCUGAUGGGGCAUAUUACAAACAGAACCUUGUGAGCCCAUCAAGUGCUCGCUGAACAU
Molecule: unclassified non-coding RNA, 207 nt
Filed under: Hevea brasiliensis (rubber tree)
Lineage: Eukaryota; Viridiplantae; Streptophyta; Magnoliopsida; Malpighiales; Euphorbiaceae
Source: RNAcentral